ACCCAGUUUCAAUUUCCCGAGCACGCAUACAGACAGCUGCUAUUGCUGUCGGUUCUUCUUCUUUCUCAGAGCUUCUUAUCUCCCGCAGUUGUGUAGCUCCCACCAAAUCUCCGAUCGGGUCGGGUUUCAUCCAAAGCAGAAAAAAGUACAUCGUACUUCAGAUGGAAGGACUUCGUCAUAUGUUGUUGAAGAGCAAGCCUUGAACGAAUUCCCAGUGCAACGUAAACGUGAUAGGAGACUGGCGAAUGGAAUCAUUUAUAAAGAAGGAAAUAGGAACUCAAGAUGACAUUAUGGCUUAACUUGUAGAAAUAACAUAAACUGGAAAGUUUAUAAUGACAAGACAAAGGCCAGUUUGUCCAAGGGAUUGUCUCUGCAGGCGGACGUGAAAUACGCGAGCGAGAUAAAUGAUCGAGGCGUUUCGGUCGGCGUGAUCAUUUGAACCUCUCUGUUUAGUAAAAAAAAAAAUGGCCAGUCGAAGUUUUAUUGUGCACAUUUGUAUCAUUCUGUGAUUCGUCGCCCUUUACUACUAAAGAUAGGUAAAGGAGUAUUUGCCAACGGGGGCCAUGGCCUUUUUGGCUUUUCCGGUAAAGGCUGAACGUCUCGAUGGAAACUGAUACGACUGAUUAAUUCUGCCAGUUCGUGUAGCAAGCGUGUUUUCCAUGUAUCCGAAGUAAUUCAGGAAACACGAAUCAGCCAUGACUAUUGCACUGAUGUUCGCGUAUCGUAAAUUAAGCCUGCACAAGGAACGGACCCUUCGGAUCUACCAGGUUUAUGUCAAAUGAACCUUAAAACAAGCUGAAGCACCUAAGUAAAGAUAGUUCAUGCCAAAAGCAUACUAGGUCAGUUCAUCCUGUCUUGCA
Long non-coding RNA from Varroa destructor (honeybee mite), 860 nucleotides. RefSeq lists it as uncharacterized. The record is from RefSeq and is a predicted model, not a curated record. NCBI's taxonomy places the organism in Eukaryota, Metazoa, Arthropoda, Arachnida, Mesostigmata, Varroidae.